ACGGAAGGCAGCAGUGGGGAAUAUUGCACAAUGGGCGCAAGCCUGAUGCAGCGAUGCCGCGUGAGGGAAGAAGGUUUUCGGAUUGUAAACCUCUGUCAACAGGGACGAAAAUGACGGUACCUGUGAAGGAAGCUCCGGCUAACUACGUGCCAGCAGCCGCGGUAAUACGUAGGGAGCGAGCGUUAUCCGGAAUUACUGGGUGUAAAGGGAGCGUAGGCGGGACUGUAAGUCAGGUGUGAAAUAUGCCGGCUCAACUGGCAGACUGCAUUUGAAACUGCGGUUCUUGAGUGAAGUAGAGGUAAGCGGAAUUCCUAGUGUAGCGGUGAAAUGCGUAGAUAUUAGGAGGAACAUCAGUGGCGAAGGCGGCUUACUGGGCUUUAACUGACGCUGAGGCUCGAAAGCGUGGGGAGCAAACAGGAUUAGAUACCCUGGUA
This 434-nucleotide ribosomal RNA is filed under the name uncultured Ruminococcus sp. RNAcentral describes it as "partial 16S ribosomal RNA". It matches the Rfam family "Bacterial small subunit ribosomal RNA", at positions 341 to 792 of the family's 1533-position model. The record is from RNAcentral. Lineage: Bacteria; Bacillati; Bacillota; Clostridia; Eubacteriales; Oscillospiraceae.